This 318-nucleotide ribosomal RNA is filed under the name uncultured bacterium. RNAcentral describes it as "bacterial SSU rRNA". It matches the Rfam family "Bacterial small subunit ribosomal RNA", at positions 8 to 294 of the family's 1533-position model. The record is from RNAcentral.
AGAGUUUGAUCAUGGCUCAGAGUGAACGCUGGCGGUAGGCCUAACACAUGCAAGUCGAACGGCAGCACAGUAAGAGCUUGCUCUUAUGGGUGGCGAGUGGCGGACGGGUGAGGAAUACAUCGGAAUCUGCCUUUUCGUGGGGGAUAACGUAGGGAAACUUACGCUAAUUCCGCAUAGGACCUUCGGGUGAAAGCAGGGGGCCUUCGGGCCUUGCGCGGAUAGCAUGAGCCGAUGUCGGAUUAGCUAGUUGAUGGGCUAAACGGUCCUUCUACGGGAAACAGCUAAGCCCAUGAUUGCGGAUUCUCUGGCCCUCGUUUU